This is an RNA transcript of Vicia villosa (hairy vetch), 3970 nucleotides long. It is a transcript of the gene named regulator of telomere elongation helicase 1 homolog, with no coding region annotated. The transcript has 24 exons. The record is from RefSeq and is a predicted model, not a curated record. Lineage: Eukaryota; Viridiplantae; Streptophyta; Magnoliopsida; Fabales; Fabaceae.
AAAUUUAUAUCGCUCUAUCAACAGCCAGUAGCCAGUGAGAAAAUUAGGGUUCAGUAUCUUUCUCAUUUUCAAUUUUCAAUCAAAGUUCACUCUAGAUUCCAAAUACAAAUUUUGUGAAUACAGUAUCGAUUCAUCUCUGUAUGUGGUUUCAAGAGUGAAUCAAGAAAAUGCCGACGUACAAGGUCAGGGGAAUCGACGUUGAUUUUCCAUAUGAAGCCUAUGAUUCCCAGCUCGUUUACAUGGACAAAGUCAUGCAGUCGCUUCAGGAGGAAAAAAAUGCAUUGUUGGAGAGUCCCACAGGAACUGGAAAAACAUUGUGUCUUUUAUGUGCUACUUUAGCCUGGCGCAAGAGUUUGGGCAGUUUCACUACUGGUUUAAGCUUAAAGACUAGUGAUAAGGGUAAAACUGAAAUUUCAUCGUCACAGUCUGGGGCUUCAGAUUUUCCUGCAAUUAUAUAUGCUUCACGUACCCACAGUCAGAUACGUCAAGUGAUUCAAGAAUUGAAACGGACAUCUUACAGACCUAAGAUGACAGUUCUUGGUUCUCGGGAGCAACUUUGCAUUCAUGAAAAAGUCAAGUUACUUCGCGGAAAAACACAAUCAAAUGCUUGUCGAUUUGCCUGUCGAAGGCGUGCAAAGCCGAAGCAUAAAUGUAACCAUUUCCAAAAUGUUCCUGAGUAUUUGAAGCACAAUCCUAAUCUUGGAGAAGAGCCUGUGGAUAUCGAGGAUUUGGUCAAUAUUGGCAGGACAUCUGGGCCGUGUCCUUAUUAUUUAUCAAAGGAGCUCCACAAGGCUGUUGAUAUAAUAUUUGCUCCAUACAACUAUCUUAUUGAUCGAGGGUAUAGAAGUUCUCUGCAACUUUCUUGGAGCAAUAGUGUACUCAUAUUCGAUGAAGCUCACAACCUGGAGGGAAUAUGUGCUGAUGCAGCCUCCUUUGACCUGCCUUCUUGGCUUCUAACAGCUUGCAUUACUGAGGUCCAAAGUGUUGUUGACCUUUUAAUAGUAAGAAGAAAUAAAUCAAAUGAUAAGUCACUAGAUCCAGAUGAUUUUGCUAUCCUUAAAGCACUUCUUCUAAAACUUGAGAAGCGUAUUGCUGAGGUUCAUAUUGACUCUAAGGAGUUGGGGUUCACCAAACCCGGGCCUUAUAUUUUUGAACUGCUGGCUGAUCUUAAUAUCACACAGAAGACUGCUUCUAAACUUAAAAGUAUAAUCGCUGAAGCUGUAACUCUCCUUGAGGAAGAAAAUCAGGAGAAAUCAACUGGCACCAUCUGCAGAUUAGAUACUAUCAAGGAUAUUCUUGACAUUGUUUUCAAGGAUGGAGGAACUUCUCAUGCUAAAUACUAUCGUGUUCAUGUGAAGGAGGCUGAGGCUUGGGGUGCCAAUGGUUCUAAAGGCCAGGUGUCAAGGACACUCAGUUGGUGGUGCUUUAAUCCAGGAAUAGCUUUGGAAGGAUUUGCCAGGGAAGGGGUUAGAUCAAUUAUAUUGACAUCAGGCACAUUAUCCCCUUUGGACUCUUUCGCUGAGGAACUGAAAUUAGACUUCCCUAUUCGGCUGGAAAAUCCACAUGUAAUAGGCCCAAAUCAGAUAUGGGCUGGAGUUGUAUCGGUUGGUCCUUUAGGGCGUACUUUUAACUCCUCUUACCGCACUCGUGACACGAUGGAGUACAAGCAGGAGCUUGGAAAUGCAAUUGUAAAUUUGGCUCGAAUUGUUCCUGAUGGACUUCUUGUAUUCUUUCCAUCUUAUUACCUUUUGGAGCAAAGCAUAGGGUGCUGGAAAAGCAUGAGUAAUGAAAAUUCAGCAUCAAUAUGGGAGAGAAUUUGCAAACACAAAAAACCGGUUAUAGAGCCUAGGGAAUCUUCACUGUUUGCCUCAUCAAUUAAGGACUACUUAACUAAGCUGAACGACACCACUGCAUCUGGAGCUGUUUUUUUUGCUGUUUGUCGUGGGAAGGUAAGCGAAGGAUUAGAUUUUGCAGAUCAUGCCGGUAGAGCUGUGGUUAUUACUGGUUUGCCAUUUGCCACAAGCAUUGAUCCUAAGGUUCGUCUAAAACGUGAAUACUUGGAUCAACAAUCUGGAGCACAAGGACAGUCGAUCAAGGUUCUAACUGGAGAUGAGUGGUACAACCAACAAGCUUCUCGAGCUGUGAAUCAAGCUGUUGGACGUGUAAUUCGCCAUCGCCAUGACUAUGGAGCAAUUAUUUUUUGUGAUGAAAGGUUUGCACAGCCUCAUCGCCAAUCCCAAUUCUCAAAAUGGAUACAGCCUCACAUCAAGUGUUACUCAAGAUUUGGAGAAGUUGUUUUUACCCUAACUCGCUUUUUUCGAGAUGGACGAACUCAAGGUUCUACAAAGCUGUCACUAUUGGAAGCUGAAAAUGGUGGGAAUCUGGGAAAAAUGCCAUCAUCAGAGCACUUAACGGAAAAAUUUCACAUGGAAAAACUUCUGCAGCCUUUGCCUACACCAAUGACUCCAAAUUGUACUUCGAAAGCCUCAUCUUUGCUUGACACAAAAAAGGGCUACACUUCAUUCAUGGGGGGAAUUCUGCCUGCCAAUCGCUCAUCACUGUCUUCUGACCGUAGGUUGACUGUAGGUUGCGACAGUUCAAGUGAUACCCGCGAGACAAUUUUGCAUAAAAGGAGGACUGUACUGUCACAAGAACCUGAUGGGCUUGAUUUGGGUGAUAGUUGUCAACUGGGUGAAAAAUCAAAGAAUAUGCUAAUAGCACCUUGUUUUACCAAGAAGCGUAGAUUUAUAGCAGGAGAGUAUGACCUAAAGCAACAUUUUGGAAAUUCUAAUGAUCAAUCAUCAUCAGGCAGUCAAAGUGCUCAAGGUGAUAUAAAUCUGCAAUGUAAAGAUAAUGUGACCUCUCAAAGUAGAAACACUGAGUUUCUUAGACAAAAAGACAAUCUUCCUGCUGAUUCAGCACCUUCUACUGCAGAUGGAACCCAAGGAUCAGCAUUCCUUGCUCAGGUCCGAGAUAAACUCAGUGCUGCAGAAUAUAUAGACUUUGUGAGUUAUAUGAAAGCGCUCAAGACCAAAACAUUGAAGAUUAGUGAAGUUUUACUAAGCAUUUCUAGAUUGUUCUCCGGUCCUGAGAGGUUACCUCUCCUUAAAAGGUUCAAGGAUUACAUCCCAGCAAAAUAUCAUUCUUUGUAUGAGCAAUAUGUUGAAGGAAAGGUAGAUUGAAAGUGCCCAACUCAUGACCGUCAUUUGAUAAUUUUUCAGCUAAAACUCAGGUAUACUUUUUGAUAGUGUCACACAAAGCUUAUGUUGUAAAGGGUCAUCUAUAGAUUUUAUUAUUGACCUUGUGACUUGGGUGGACCAGCAGACCUCAUACUUCAAAAUGACUCAAUAUACAACAAGAGAAUCAAGAAUGGUCAUGGAAUUUCUUCGGCCAGGCGUCAAAUCAUUAUGGAACGGAACCGUGCUCCUCUCCAUGUUACCGAGAUUACCUGCCUGUGAUAAUAUAUAGCCAUUUUUUAAGCAAAGUGUUGAGAUACAAUAAAAUGUAUCUCGCAGCAAUGGUAUUUUGGUCAAUAAUCCAUCAAGAUUAUUUAUCUGUAUUUUAUUGUACAUGCUGCCAGACAACAUUGUAAUGCGUAUAAAGAUAAAAUAAUAUUAUAAGUUUUCAAGUUUUUUUCUGUAUUGUUACUUCAAGUUAUUCUAUUCGUUUGAUAACCAAAGCAUGGAAUGCAGACAAUAUGUUGAAGCAAGUAUCUCACAAGACGUAACCUUGGCAGAGAAUAAAAACAAGAGGUAGUGGAAGUAGAACAUUUCCACAAGCGACUCGUCAAAUGGGCGUACAAGUAAAACUAACGAAUUAUUAAGACGUCAAUGAUGUACGAUCGUGCAAAGAGAAUAAGUGAUCUUAAAUUAGGGAAUUUUUGGAGUAGAUUAUGAAUCGUGAGCAAAUAAAUCAAUAUCCAAAGGAGAGAUCCUUGGGUCAAAGUGUGGAGGGAGGAUUGAGUGUUACU